GUAUACAGAAAUAAAACAAGAAGCAACAACAAAAUUAAGGAUAUUCUAAAAAGAGAAAAAAAACAAAAACAAAAUAAAAACAAUGAGCGUUUACAAUUUUUAUCAGAAUGUAAUCCCCAGCCAAUCCAUAAGAACCGCUUUAUGUAGUAACAUAAAAGGUAAUGGGAAAAAGUAUUUAAUAUAUGCAAAUAAUAAUACAUUAAAUGUAUGUUCUGUUGAUAAGGAUGGCUUUACAGAUGAUUAUAGUAAACAUUUUAUUUUUUCUGAUAUACUUGAGAUAAGAGAAUAUAAACCACGAAAGUUAAUUGACACUAAUAAAAACAAAAAUAUUAAAUCGUAUAUAUUUUUAUUAACAAAAGAAUAUAAAUUAUUAUUGUUAGAAUUUGACACAAAACUAAAUGAAUUUAUUACAUUAUCGAAAACAAACCUACGUGAUGUCAUUGGUUUACAUAUUGAUGAAGAAAUCAUAUUUUUGUUGAAUGAUAAGAAUAGUGCAAUUAUAUUUUAUGCUUAUAAAAAUAUAAUGAAAUAUAUACUUUUAGAUUAUGAUGAUUAUUUAAAUUUAAGUCAUUUAUAUACUGUUCGAUUAGAAGAUGGUUAUGUUAUUGAUAUUAUAUUUUUAAAUUAUUAUGAUGAUGAUGAUAAUAAUAAUAAUAAUAAGGAAAAGUAUGGAUCAGAUUGUUGUUUAUGUAGUAAUAGUAGUAAUGUUAAUAAUGGAAGUUACAUGUACAAUGGCAAUACUUGUUAUCAUAGUAACAAGUUAGAUAUUAAAGAAAGCACAAAAAAACAAAAAAACAAAAAACCACAACAGUCUUUUAACUCAUCAAUAAAUAAUAAUAACAAUAAUAAUAAUUUUUAUAAUAAUAAUAAUAAUAGUAAUAAUAAUAAAAAUAAUACUAUAUGUAUGAACGAUAGUAAUAAUAACACAAGUUCUAAUGUAAAUAAAAAAAAUAUAAACGAUAAUGAUAGUAUUUUAUAUGACAAUACAAAUAAUAAAAAAACAUACACUUUUAAUAGUAUGCAAUAUGAACAAACUGAUAAUGACAUAAGUACAUGCAUAAAAAACAUGAAUAAAAAUAAAUACAAUGAAUUAACUAAUGUAAGUAGUAAAAAUGAAAAACAAAACUUUGUUGAUUCAUUUUGUAAUAAUAAUCAAAAAAAUAGCACCAUACAUCAUACAAAAGUUUGCAAGUAUGAUGAAGAUUAUGCUCGUGACACUAAUGACGUUUUGAAUAAAAACGAAAAAAAUGGGUUAUCAAAAAGGAAUGAAACUGUGGAUAAUACAGGUGCAAGCGUGAGUCUUGGUACAAAUGUUAAUACUAAUACGAGUGCAAGAACAAACACACACAAACGUUGUACAAAACGAAAACAAAAUAAUGAAAAUAUUAACAUAUUUGUUUGUAUAUUAUACGAUGCCACAAAACAAACGUCUCCUACAUACGAGCGAUAUAUCCAGGUUAUUCGAUUAUACUCGCUAAAUGAAAUAAAAAGCGAAAAUCCAUGUGAAUGUUGUAACUAUUAUGAAUGCCAAGUAGAUGACACAUGUAAUGAGCAUAAUUCAAAUUCACCUAAAUAUAAUUUAUAUUAUAAUAAUGAUGUUUAUAUAUCUCCAAUAUAUUUUAGUCCAGUUAUUGUAGAUGCAAGUAUUAACAAACUUUUUAGUAUUGCAAAAAAUAGAAUACUGCUUAUAGGUUUUCAGUUUAUUAAUUAUAUAAAUUUGGCAGUAGAUAAAGAAUAUAUUUUUUUUCUUAGCUCUGAAUUAAGGACAAUUAGAUGUAUUGAGCAAAUUCAAAAAAAUAAAUAUAUUUUAGCUGACGACUAUGGAGAUCUUUUUAUUUUAACUUGUGUUUUCAGCGAUGAUGCAUGUCCUUCUAAAAUGGACAAGUACGAAAGGGGUAAUAUGUUUGGCAGCAAAAAAAACGGAAAAAACGGAAAAAACGGAAAAAAUGGAAAAAAUGACAAGAGCGAGAACAAUGACCAUAGUUAUAUUGGUGUAGGUAAUAUACGGUACCCUAGGAAUAAUAGUUAUACUUUUAUAAAUAAUUAUGACCGUUAUUGUUGUAAAUACAAUGCACUCGAUUGUUAUAAACAUAGUCCGACUUGUAUUAAUUAUAAAUCAAGCGAAAUAAAUCUUAUAAAUUUACAAUUCAUAGGCAUAUGUUCUCGAUCUAACGUUAUUGUUUCUAUUUUUUCGAAUAUAUUAUUUUUAGGAUCAGAAGUAAGUAAUAGUUAUUUAUUGCGUAUGCAUAAUUAUCCAGUACAUGCUUAUAAGGAUUUCGUACCAGUUGAGCCUAACAAUUUGCACAGCGAAGAUGGUAUAACAUCUGAUAGAGAGUUUAGUAAACAAGACACACGUCUAGCUGUUGGCGACUUGAACACUAAACAAAGCUGUUACACUAAUACUAAUACUAAUACUAAUACUAAUACUACUACUACUACUACUAAUAAUAAUGAUAGUAAUAAUGAUAAUAGUAAUGUAAAUGCAUUUUUGCAAAUGAAAAAAAAGAUGCAAACAGGUUUUAAUAGUGGAUCAGAUUGGGUUACGGCCGCCAAUACUACCAACAGUAAUACCAACAGUAAUAACAACAGUAAUACCAACAGUAAUAACAACAGUAAUACCAACAGUAAUAACAACAGUAAUACCAACAGUAAUAACAACAUGAAUGUGAACACUUAUAGCCAAGAAAACAAUGCUAUCCACACAAAUACAACCGAUAAAAAAUAUACCGAUUGGCUACUAAAUAAUUAUGUAAAUAAACAAAAUCAAAUUUUAAUUAAUGAGCAUGGAAAGUGCUUGAAUGAAUGCGAAGUCGUAAAAAAUGGAGAACAUACUAAUUGUACAUACCUUGAUAUUAAAGACGGGUUAAAUAUUGAUGUGCUACAACAAACGAGUGAAAUAACUAACGCAAAUAUAAACAAUGACAUUAAUGUUAAUACUAUAAACGAAGAAAAAAAUAAUUUACUUAUUAAGCAGAAAAUGGAAGAGUUCCGUUUUUUGCAAUAUACACAAAAAGGUUAUAUAGAUACAAAUUUGUCAUAUGAUUAUGUUUUAUCUACAGAAAAUACAUCAAAUGUUAGUACAGACAUAAAUAAACUUUCCAAUUCGGUUUUAAAUACUUCAAAUAAUAAAAACAAUUUUUAUGAAAAUAAUAUAUCAAACUUAUUCGAAUGUUAUAACAAAAUUAAAAAUAAAAAGAGUAAAAAAAAAAAAAAAAAAAAUUUUUUUAUUGAAGUGUUGUCUGUUAUUAAGAACAUGGGCCCUAUUUUAGAUUUUUGCGUAAUUCAAAAUAAAGACAAUGAAAAAGAAAUAAUAACAUGUAAUAGUUAUGGUAGAACUGGUUGUAUAUCUAUUAUAAAAAGUGGUUUAAAAGCUAAUGUUAUUUCCAAACUAGAUGUAAAUAAAGUAACUAAUUUUUUUGUAGUUAAAUAUGUCAUACAUAUAAAAAAAAAAAAUAAUAAUAAUAAUAAUAAUAAUAAUAUAAAAAAAAAUGACAAAUUAUAUAAAAAUAGAAAUAAAAGAGAGAAAGAUGAGGGAGGGAUAGUUCAAACUGAAUCAGAUGUGCGUAAGAUUUCAUCCGUUGAGAAAAUCAAAAAUAUGAAAAAUAAAAAUAAGAUAUCAAAUGAUGAUUGUAGUAAUGGUAGUAGUAAUAGUAGUAGUAAUAGUAGUAGUAGCAGUAAUAGUAAUAAUAAUGUACAUGGUUUUGAAAAUACGACUGAACAUGCUAGAACUAACAAAGAGCCAUUACAAUUCCAAGUCUUUGCUUACUUGGAUAAUAGAAAAAGUGUUGAAAUUAAAAAUGUUGAUUUAUCUUUUUUAAAUACUUAUUAUUUUGAAAAUGAACAUGAAAUAAAUGUUUUAAAAUAUGCAAAUUUUAUUUAUUUUCAUAUUUUUUUUAUUUGUAUAUCUUAUGGUUUUUAUACAAAAGUUGUGGGUGUAUGUAGAGACACAAAUAAGUUAGCAAAUAAAAAAUGGAAAUCGGUUGACUCGUGUUUUUCUGUUGGAUAUCAAAAUGGAUACAUUCAGGAUCCGAUAAACGUAUCGACAAAUACAUCGACAAAUACAUCGGCAAAUGCAUCGACAAAUGCAUCGACAAAUACAUCAACGUAUAUGCCACCGAAACAGCACUACGACGAACCAUCAAGUUAUAUAAAUAAUGACGAUAGUACUUAUUUUAAUAAUGCUUAUAUGAAAAAUAAUUAUAACAACAUUACUUUAUGUGAAUAUAAAAAUACAGAUAUUGAUGUAAGUGCUAAUGUUUUACAUUUUUCUGUAUUAAAAAAUUAUCCAUAUAUUAUACAAGUUACUGACACUUCUGUUCGUUUGUUGUGUUGUUUAUCAUUAAAAUUAGUGUUUGUUCUUAAUUUUCGUCUUAUAUAUAAAUUUUGUUUAUCAAAUAAUUUUUUGUAUAUUUAUUGUGAUGAUAAUAUCGAAGUUUAUACAGUACUUGAAGGAGGUAUUUUUUUUUUAUAUAAAAAAAAAGUGAAGAAACCAAUUAGCUCUAUGGUUAUAUACAAACGGUUGAUGGUUCUUGUUUUUUAUUGUAAACGGGUAGAAUUGUAUAAUAUAAAUAAAAAAAAGUUAAAUGAUUUAAGAAAUGAACGUGCCAAAAUAAAUGAACAAAAUGCUCCAAGCACAUUAAAAAAAGAAAAAAAUAUAUCCAUUUUUAGACAAGUUUGCUCAUACAAACCUAAAUGUGACUUUUUUAUUUUUAUAAACGAUAUAGAACUAAUUGAAUUUAACGAUAAUGUUUAUCUUUUUAUUGGUUAUAAUAAUGGGGACCUGGAAUAUUUUAUAUUGUGUGUAUGUAAUGAGUUGGAGAAAAAAAGAUGCACUGAUGUUAGUAGGGAACAUAGGGAACAUGUGACUGGUACAUAUGACCUUUAUAACUUAGAUGAAUUGUCUACCUCGAAUAGUUUAACUGAAAAGUUAAAAAAAAAUACAAAAAUAAAAAUCGAAAAAAACGAACAUAAUAAUAAUAAUAAUAAUACUACUUGUAUUAAUAGUAGUAAUGAUAACUUUAUUACUGCAGGUAUUCCACAACCAUCCAUUUUACAACAACUUAAAAGUGUAAAAAAUGAAUACACGUUUUCUAUGCAAGAAGACACUGUCGAUGACAAUUAUAAUAAUGACUUGAGUGGUAAUUCAUUACAUAAGGUUGGUGAUGCUUUAUUUAAUGUGUAUAAUAAUCAUACCGACUUAAGUGUCGAUAAUAGUAAUUUGUUUUUUAGUAAUACUAAUAAUAAAAACAAUAUAAGUAUGGGUAAAGACGGUGACCAUAAAUUAAUGCAUACAAACGAAAAAAUAAAGAGUAAAAGUGACAGCAUUUCAAGUAGUGACGAUUUAAGCAGUGACAAUUUAAGCAGUAACAAAUUAAGCAGUGACAAUUUAAGCAGUAACAAUUUAAGCAGUGAUAAUUCAAAUGGCAACAAAUCAAAUGGAAACAAAUCAAAUGGAAACAGUUUAAGCAUUAACAAAUCGAAUUACAAAAGAGCAUAUUAUAAAAAUAGUUGUAUUGGUAUACCUGACUAUAGCAACAAAAAAAGUAUGAGCAACGUUAAUAAUUUGUUUAAAUUACAUAAAAAGUUUUUAAAAAGAAAAGAGGCCGCACUAAAAUGGCUAUACAAAAAAAAAGGUGACGAAAGUGAUUGUUUUAUUAAAAAUAUAACAACUAAACAUAAUGACAAAAUAAAAUUAAUUGAUAAUAUAAAAAAGAUAAAAAAAAAAAAAGAAGAAAAAAAAAAAGUGUUAACAUUUUUACUUGAAAAUUAUACUAACAUAUUUGAUCAUUUUGAUUUUGGAAAAGGUAAAAUCAAAAAUUAUAAUAGUUUGUAUAAUGCUUGUAUGGAUCAAAAUAAAGAGGAGUUGUAUCUUGAUCCUGCUAUUUAUUAUAAUAUAGAUGCUAAAAAUAUUAAUAAACAUAAUAUGGAAAAUAUGUUGAAGGAAAAUAUAAGAAUGGAUACGGUUGGAGACAUUGAUGGUGCAAAGGACACAAUAAUAAUAAAUAAAAAAAAAGCAAAAUAUUUUUUUAAUUUUUUUCAAACUUAUAAAAUAUCUUCAGAUGAAGAAUCAGACCUUGGAAUUGUAAAAGUGAACAGGUCAAACAAAGCGAGACAUAAGCAAGUAAGAAAUAAACCAUGGAGUAUUUCAAAAAAAAAAAAAAAAAAAAAAGAAAAAAAAAAGCGUAAUAACUUGUAGUGACUAUAAUAGCUGUAGCAAUAGCAUAUGUAGUAAUGAAAAAUCUAUAGAUAUUGAAAACGAAUUUAUGCACAACUCUGAAUAUUUAUUAUCAACACAUAUUAACACAACCGAUAGUAAUGAUUUGUAUUUAAAAUACAAAAAUCAGGCAAACUAUUGUAGCUUAAAUAGUGAUAAUGAAUUGUUUCUCGAUUUUAAGACUGACAGUGGUAAAAGUGCAGUAAAUAAAAAUGCAGUAAAUAAAAAUGCA
Piliocolobus tephrosceles (Ugandan red Colobus) is the source of this 6446-nucleotide long non-coding RNA. The record is from Ensembl. Lineage: Eukaryota; Metazoa; Chordata; Mammalia; Primates; Cercopithecidae.